This 1150-nucleotide unclassified non-coding RNA is filed under the name Leishmania donovani. Its description in RNAcentral is "gene:unknown". The record is from RNAcentral. Lineage: Eukaryota; Euglenozoa; Kinetoplastea; Trypanosomatida; Trypanosomatidae.
GAGCUCUGUGGCGAGUAGCGGGCGCCUUUUCUUCUUUUCAUUGCUAUCAGCGGCAGACGACGUAUGCGCGCUCACUCUGUCUCUUGCUCUCUCCUUUUUUUCCCCUCUCUCUCGUGUACAUCACGCGAUGUCCAAUGCGGAGUCGAGGGCUUGUGUGGAUUUGCUCAUCGAGGGAGCGGUGCUGCGGCGUGUAAUCGGUCUCUCUAAAAGUCGGAUAGAGCAAGAUGAAAGGAAGCGCGACGCUGGCUGAAGAGCGAUGAUGCUGCCGGUGAGCGGGAAGGCCGAUGCAGAGGAUGGGUAGCGAUGCAUCGCUCGCGCUCUCUUGCACUAUUCUGCCUACGCAUACAGCCAUCCACAUGGAUUGUGUGGAUGUUUUUCUGCAUGAAAGUGUGUCAUGAAAGGGUCUCGCUACCGCGCGCGCGUGCCCUAUGAUGUAGAUGCACACUAGAUUAUGGGUGUGCCGGUGAGUGAUAGCAGCUGCAGCUUCUAUCGCGUUUAUGCGUCUCUCGUUUGCAUGGCGUCAGCGUGUGUGGCUACCGGGGAUGCCGGUCGAAAGCGAGUGUAAGAGGCGGUGGCGAAGACGACGAUGAGGAGGAGCAAGGAUUACCGGGAGAAGGCGGAAGGCCGCAUGGCGGGGGGCUCGCUCCCGGUGAAGCGAGGCUGAGGCUUUUGUGUUGUGUUUUCUUUCACCAUCGCGCUACGUUUAUUGACGCUCUUUCUUUUAGUUUCUCGGCUCCUUUUUGCUGUCCAUGUUGAUGUUCUCUCUCCCACCCUCCCCGUCUCGCCCUCACGCAGCUCUCGCAUACCUUCUCUUUUCUCCACUUUAUUCAGCGGUUUUGGCUGCAUGAGUAUGUUUCUCUCUCUCUCCCCUGCAUGUGCAUGCUGGUUUCCAUGGGCGAGUGCGUAUGCAGUUUCCAAUGUUCGUCUCGUCACACUUCAUUGUCUUCACUCCCUAUCGGCCGCUAAGCCUUGACGGCUCUGCCGGUGUGGACAAACAUAUCCUCUCUUUCACCCUCUCGCCACCCCAACAGCCUCUGUCGUAAGUGCUUCCUAGUUUAAGGUCCUCUUUCGCUUCGCUGUUGCCGUCGUCUUCUGCCCCGCUCCACUCCGUCCGGCUUCUACACCUUUCCUACCCACCACCCUUCCCUAG